UACGUAGGGGGCGAGCGUUGUCCGGAUUCAUUGGGCGUAAAGAGCUCGUAGGCGGCUUGGCAAGUCGGAUGUGAAAACUCCAGGCUCAACCUGGAGCCGCCAUUCGAUACUGCUAUGGCUAGAGUCCGGUAGGGGAGUGUGGAAUUCCCGGUGUAGCGGUGGAAUGCGCAGAUAUCAGGAGGAACACCAAUGGCGAAGGCAGAUCUCUGGGCCGUAACUGACGCUGAGGAGCGAAAGCAUGGGGAGCGAACAGG
RNAcentral lists this ribosomal RNA (254 nucleotides) under uncultured bacterium. RNAcentral describes it as "partial 16S ribosomal RNA". It matches the Rfam family "Bacterial small subunit ribosomal RNA", at positions 524 to 776 of the family's 1533-position model. The record is from RNAcentral.